AGCAGCCGCGGUAAUUCCAGCUCCAAUAGCGUAUAUUAAAGUUGUUGCAGUUAAAAAGCUCGUAGUUGAAUUUCGGGGUCAGUAGAUUGGUCGUGCCACUGGUAUGUACUGGUCUUACUGGCUCCUCCUUCCUGAUGAACCGUAAUGCCAUUAAUUUGGUGUUGCGGGGAAACUGGACUGUUACUUUGAAAAAAUUAGAGUGUUUAAAGCAGGCUAACGCUUGAAUACAUUAGCAUGGAAUAAUGAAAUAGGACGUUCGAUCUUAUUUUGUUGGUUUCUAGGAUUGACGUAAUGAUUAAUAGGGAUAGUUGGGGGCAUUAGUAUUCAAUUGUCAGAGGUGAAAUUCUUGGAUUUUAUUGAAGACUAACUACUGCGAAAGCAUUUGCCAAGGAUGUUUUCAUUAAUCAAGAACGAAAGUUAGGGGAGUCGAAGACGAUCAGAUACCGUCGU
RNAcentral lists this ribosomal RNA (450 nucleotides) under uncultured Glomeromycotina. Its description in RNAcentral is "SSU rRNA". It matches the Rfam family "Eukaryotic small subunit ribosomal RNA", at positions 569 to 1021 of the family's 1831-position model. Lineage: Eukaryota; Fungi; Glomeromycota. The record is from RNAcentral.